CAUCCAGCAGACAAAAGGGUGGGACUGGCAGGAAAGGCAGCGAUGAGUAAAGCUCAUGUUCUCCUUUAUGAGCCCCUCAUCUAACGGCCGCAUUUGAUUACAGUAAGGCUCAGAGUUGAGGAACUUUUACAGGAUUACUGCCAGUUUCCUCCACACACACACACACACACACACACACAGAGUGCUGGAUGCUGGACCGUCUGGGUGAAACCGGAGUGGGGGAAGCUUUAAUGAGGGGUAUGAAGGGAUGAUGUUGAAGCCAGUCAGGGGAAACAGUGGGGAGUCUCCUUUGGAUCGUACAAUCCACUCGACUCAUGUUAUGCAGUUCAUUCUGUUUUGAUCCCAGUGAAGCUUCAAGAAGCAGUAAAAAGUAAUAUGAGUUCAGAUGGUGACGAGGCCCAGGCCAAUCGCACCCAUUAAGACGGCAUCCCACCAACACUUAAAACGUACAGCAGUGGCGCCUAACAACUGUGCUAGACUCCACGACUAUCCUCCUGGCAGGGAUCGCUGGAUAUUUCAGACGGGCAAGGAACAUUCAGGAGAAUUACAGUCCUUCUUUGGAGUUUGUGAGGCUUUUGGACUGCACUUUAUUUUGAAAGAAUUAGAUGCAGUCUGUUUGAUUCACUCUUGUGUUAUGUGGCACCAACCC
Molecule: long non-coding RNA, 649 nt
Organism: Rhinichthys klamathensis goyatoka
Lineage: Eukaryota; Metazoa; Chordata; Actinopteri; Cypriniformes; Leuciscidae
Exons: 3
Source: RefSeq, a predicted model, not a curated record